Molecule: long non-coding RNA, 2144 nt
Organism: Siniperca chuatsi (mandarin fish)
Lineage: Eukaryota; Metazoa; Chordata; Actinopteri; Centrarchiformes; Sinipercidae
Exons: 8
Source: RefSeq, a predicted model, not a curated record
CAGAGUUGUGCCCACCACCCUGACACAGCUGGGCACCCGCAGGUCCCAGAACCGGACUGUCUUGUCCUGGGAGCCAGAGGCGAUCAUCCACCCUCCCCAUGUGUACAGAGUCAGAAUGUGACCUGUUCAAACAAAAUGUUUUCUUACAGGAAGAGCUGUUGCUAACGUACCGGUGUGUCCACUCAGGGCAUGAAGGCCCUGUCCUCUCUGACAGUCUGUUGUGUAGAUGUUGCAGUCUCCAGCCCCGGCACUGAUCAAGAUGGAUCCUCCACUCUCAGGGCCCUCCAUGAAAGCCAGGUCCCUGAUGGUACCGUCAUGCAUGCUAAACUCCAGGAACUGGGGACUCGCUGAGGGAAGGCAAGCUGGGGUUCCCGGUCCUUAACGGGGUGCUGCUCACUCCCCCUCCUGGCUUGUCCUUUGGCGGCCUGGUGUCUGGGGUGUGGUGGGUGUUGGUGGUUCUAGGACUGGAAGUGCUGGUGUUCCCUGUCAGUCCGUUCCACUGCCGGCCUAGAUGUGUCAUCCCCUCAUCUCCUCUGUGGUCAAUGCCCACAUUCAUCUCCUCCAACUUCUGAAUGGAUCUAGACAAAAGCAAGAUCUCUUUGUCUGCACAAGAUGCUGCUGCACACGGAGACGGUGCCUGUGAUACUCCUGGAUGUGCUCUGUGGAGUCAAGAUGCUGGGCAGACACACAUGCACGCAUAUUCUCUGCUUCAACGCUUGGCAGUGCUCAUUGCCACAACACACACACACACACACCCAAUUAUAAUAGACAAACUCUCUCCCAAGAGCCACUACUGACAACCCUUCAACUCCCAAGGCCUCAUCCUCCAUCAUCCAUCGCAUAAAAAGUUUUCAAGGACCUCAUCAUAUCCAGUGGGUCUACAGUAUAUUCCCCUUCAUCUCUCUCAUCACUUUUCACACACACACACACACACACACACACACACACACACACACACACACACACACAAAACAAUCCAAUCUCAAGCUACUUUGCGCCUCUAAAUGGGACCUGGGAUGCAUAAAGAUGAGCGAUGAUGGAAGCAGCAGGCCAUCUUGGGUGUGAACGCACAUCAAACCAGAUUAUCUGCCUCCAGUGUCCAUGACCUCCACCCUCCUCACUGGGACAGGGGGCUGGAGGACGCUAGUGCCCCUUGGACAGGUGUGGUAGAAAACUGGGGAAGGAUUUAUGAGGCAGUGGUGGUGUGGAGACGAGGUGGUUCAGGGGGUCAGGGGGAAUCUAUUCUAAAUCUCUUAAAUCUGGAGUAAUGACUAUGGAGGGAAGACAGACUGAAAAUCUCACUUUGACUUUGACUCAAGUGACCAGACAGACAACCAUGGCUAUUUCCUUUUACAGUCUUCACAAGAGUCAUGAAACCAAUUCAGCCUGAGCAACCAAAGGGUGGCCCACCAUCUUUUCCAGGGGUCAGAGGCAUGCGUGUGGUGUUGGGUCCAUCCAGCCCUUAUGGAAGAGACGGUUCCCGCUUGCCCUGAAGCCUGCCUCACUCAGCUUCCUGUCUGCAGGGAUGAACUCCGCUACCAUGGCACAGGCUUCCUCGAAGCAAUGGACACGUGCCGUGCUUGGGUUCCAGUCUUUGAACUCUGCGUGGUGGGUGAGGCGUGGCAGGGUGAGGAGGAGACACAGCUUGCUGUAGUCCUCCUUAGUCGGACAGAACUCCUCCAGAUUGUGGAGGCACUUGACUGCCACUUGCAUGGACACUAUGGUCUUCUCCUAUCUGCCACAUGAGUCUGCUGUACAGUCAUACCUGAGGAAGAGCAUGUCAUCAGAGUAGAGUCCAUUAAUGACGCCGCUCUCCUUCUCUAAGGCCAGCAUGCUGAUGUGCAGCUUCCUGGAGUUCAGGAAGUCCAGCAUCACCUUGAUCACCUCCGCCUCCUUGAUGCUGAUUGUCUCCUCUGCCGUCAUGAUGACAGAUCUGUGGUGGCAGUUUAAAGCUGGCUGGAAUACAGACUGAGGGAAGAGGAGAUGGACAUGCUGUUGACAAAGUUGCAUCAAAAAAGAAAAAUGCUUAUGGUUCAUAUUAACCUGAAUUAAAAGAGUUUCAUUCUAAAAUGACUGUACAUAUUCACAAUUUAAGGGAAAUGCUACCUACUUCCAUUAAAUUACUUGAUGUUACACCAAAACAA